This 107-nucleotide small RNA is filed under the name Marmota monax (woodchuck). The record is from RNAcentral. Lineage: Eukaryota; Metazoa; Chordata; Mammalia; Rodentia; Sciuridae.
GCUGGGCUUGGUGGCGCAUGCCUGUAAUCCCAACAACUUGGGAGGCCAAGGCAGGAGGACCACAAGUUGGAGGUCAGCCUGCUUAACUUGGUGAGACCCUGUCUCAA